Molecule: ribosomal RNA, 465 nt
Filed under: Vreelandella stevensii
Lineage: Bacteria; Pseudomonadati; Pseudomonadota; Gammaproteobacteria; Oceanospirillales; Halomonadaceae
Description: partial 16S ribosomal RNA
Rfam family: Bacterial small subunit ribosomal RNA
Source: RNAcentral
CCUACGGGCGGCUGCAGUGGGGAAUAUUGGACAAUGGGGGGAACCCUGAUCCAGCCAUGCCGCGUGUGUGAAGAAGGCCCUCGGGUUGUAAAGCACUUUCAGUGAGGAAGAACGCCUGGUGGUUAAUACCCAUCAGGAAAGACAUCACUCACAGAAGAAGCACCGGCUAACUCCGUGCCAGCAGCCGCGGUAAUACGGAGGGUGCGAGCGUUAAUCGGAAUUACUGGGCGUAAAGCGCGCGUAGGUGGCUUGAUAAGCCGGUUGUGAAAGCCCCGGGCUCAACCUGGGAACGGCAUCCGGAACUGUCAAGCUAGUGUGCAGGAGAGGAAGGUAGAAUUCCCGGUGUAGCGGUGAAAUGCGUAGAGAUCGGGAGGAAUACCAGUGGCGAAGGCGGCCUUCUGGACUGACACUGACACUGAGGUGCGAAAGCGUGGGUAGCAAACAGGAUUAGAUACCCCUGUAGUC